RNAcentral lists this ribosomal RNA (235 nucleotides) under uncultured bacterium. RNAcentral's name for it is "partial 16S ribosomal RNA". It matches the Rfam family "Bacterial small subunit ribosomal RNA", at positions 99 to 334 of the family's 1533-position model. The record is from RNAcentral.
CGGACGGGUGAGUAACGCGUGGAUAACCUGCCUCACACUGGGGGAUAACAGUUAGAAAUGGCUGCUAAUACCGCAUAAGCGCACAGUACCGCAUGGUACGGUGUGAAAAACCCAGGUGGUGUGAGAUGGAUCCGCGUCUGAUUAGCCAGUUGGCGGGGUAACGGCCCACCAAAGCGGCGAUCAGUAGCCGACCUGAGAGGGUGACCGGCCACAUUGGGACUGAGACACGGCCCAA